UGUGGGAGCUGGCUUGCCUGCGAUGAUAUCGCUGCGGUGUUACUGACAAACCGCGUCGUCUGCAUCGCAGGCAAGCCAGCUCCCACA
RNAcentral lists this unclassified non-coding RNA (87 nucleotides) under Pseudomonas cedrina. The record is from RNAcentral. Lineage: Bacteria; Pseudomonadati; Pseudomonadota; Gammaproteobacteria; Pseudomonadales; Pseudomonadaceae.